RNAcentral lists this ribosomal RNA (1491 nucleotides) under Triticum aestivum (bread wheat). Its description in RNAcentral is "partial small subunit ribosomal RNA". The record is from RNAcentral. Lineage: Eukaryota; Viridiplantae; Streptophyta; Magnoliopsida; Poales; Poaceae.
AUGCAGGAUCAUCUUCGACAUGGAAAUGACGAGAUGCUGGAAAUCUUGGAGUAUGGCUAUCAUGCGGUUGAUCCAAAGAACCCCACACCAAGAGAAAUAUAUGACAAGAACCUCAAUGACACUGCUAUCAUGUGUAUAAGGAGAGGCAUGGAUGAAAAGCAAAGGAGACCGUUCAUACACAUCACAAGUGCCAAGGAACUAUGGGAAAGUAUCAUACGAUCCAAGACUGGCACCUCUACCCUCCGAAGUGCUCAAUAUGAAAUUGCCAAGGGGCAAUUGCAAAACUUUUGUAUGGAGAAAGGUGAAACCCCCAAUCAACUCCAUGAGCGCCUCAUGACUCUCACUGCCGAUAUUGAGUCAUGUGAGUGUGACAAGACACAAGAUGGAUUCAACAUGACUAAGAGAUUCCUUGUGGAUAAAUUGCUUCAUGCUCUUGCUCCAUAUCACCAUCAAAUGGUGUGGGACAUAAGACAGCACCAUACUUUCAAGGAAAUGACUACAGAUGACAUCAUAUCCACCUUUCAACUAUUUGAAGAGUCAAAGGCUAAUGCCACAAAACAUCUUGCCAUGCAUGGUUCCCCAUCAUCAAAGGUCAAUCUUGCAUUGAAGGCCAAGCAUGUAUGUGAAGAUGAGCAAAGUGAAGAAGAAGAAGAAGAUGAUGAUGAUGAUGAAGAUGGUGAUGAGAUUGAAUCCGACGAGGGCCCGUCAUAUGAAGACAUGGCUCUCUUUGUCAAGAAGUUUAGCGCGGGAAAAUUCAAGGGAAGAUUCCAAAAGAAGGAAGUAAGAAAAUGCUACAACUGUGAGGAAACCAACCACUUCUCAAAUGAGUGCCCUUAUGAGAAGAGAGAAGAUAGACCAAGGUUUCCCAAGACCUUUCCUAAGAAGAAGUUGCCAAAUCCUUUGAACUCCAAGCUCAAGAAGAGAGAUGGGAAAGCAAUGGUUGCUCAAGAAGAAUCUGAUCCGGAUGAUGUUAGUGGUGUUGCCAGAGUUGCUCAAGAUUCGCAAAACACAUUGAGGCUAGUCAAUAAGAGUGGUGAAGUUGUCACCUACAACUACAUGAAGGAUUACAAGGGCAACGCUCACAAGUGCCUCAUGGCGAAGGCCGUGGUAGAAGAUGGAGAGGAUCAAAACUCUCCUGACAAGGUCAAGGUAACCCCACGAUCAAACCCUCCUCUUCUCACUCCUCCUGUUUCUAGUGAUGAGUAUCUUGAUGCGGAGGAUAGUUAUGAGGAUGAUGAUCUAAAUGAUCCUAUGCUUGCUAAACUUAAUAAAUUCAUGUGCUCCCUCAAAGGAAAGAAGCUCACUAUGUUUCGCAUGCUUAUGGAGAUGGUGAGUAAGCACACCAUCACCAUUAAGGAACUCGAAACCCUCGUCACCGAGGAAAAGGAAAAAUGUGAAAUCCUUGAGCGGAAAGUCCAAUAUGAGGAAACACGAAAUGAUGAACUAUGCUUAAAAAUUGGCACAAAUAUUGAUGUUCAUACUAAAGAUCUU